AGUGAACGCUGGCGGUAGGCCUAACACAUGCAAGUCGAACGGCAGCACAGGAGAGCUUGCUCUCUGGGUGGCGAGCGGCGGACGGGUGAGGAAUACAUCGGAAUCUACUUUUUCGUGGGGGAUAACGUAGGGAAACUUACGCUAAUACCGCAUACGACCUACGGGUGAAAGCAGGGGACCUUCGGGCCUUGCGCGAUUGAAUGAGCCGAUGUCGGAUUAGCUAGUUGGCGGGGUAAAGGCCCACCAAGGCGACGAUCCGUAGCUGGUCUGAGAGGAUGAUCAGCCACACUGGAACUGAGACACGGUCCAGACUCCUACGGGAGGCAGCAGUGGGGAAUAUUGGACAAUGGGCGCAAGCCUGAUUCAGCCAUACCGCGUGGGUGAAGAAGGCCUUCGGGUUGUAAAGCCCUUUUGUUGGGAAAGAAAUCCAGCCGGCUAAUACCUGGUUGGGAUGACGGUACCCAAAGAAUAAGCACCGGCUAACUUCGUGCCAGCCGCCGCAGUAA
This 506-nucleotide ribosomal RNA is filed under the name uncultured bacterium. Its description in RNAcentral is "partial 16S ribosomal RNA". It matches the Rfam family "Bacterial small subunit ribosomal RNA", at positions 29 to 523 of the family's 1533-position model. The record is from RNAcentral.